AGGGUGCAGGGCGGAUGCCUUGGCACUAGGAGCCGAUGAAGGACGUGAUAAGCUGCGAUAAGCUUCGGGGAGUUGCACGUAAACUUUGAUCCGAAGAUUUCCGAAUGAGGAAACUCACUUAGAGUAAUGUCUAAGUAUCAUUAAGUGAAUACAUAGCUUAAUGAGGGGAACUCAGGGAACUGAAACAUCUAAGUACCUGAAGGAAGAGAAAGAAAUUCGAUUCCGUAAGUAGCGGCGAGCGAACGCGGAUUAGCCCAAACCAAUAAAGUUUUCUUUAUUGGGGUUGCGGACAUAUCAUAACGAAGAGGUAUCGUAAUUGAAGAGGUUUGGAAAGACCCACCACAGAAGGUAAUAGUCCUGUAUGUUAAACGAGAAGACUUUAGAUAUGAUCCAGAGUACCACGGGACACGUGAAACCCUGUGGGAAGCAGGAGGGACCACCCUCCAAGGCUAAAUACUACCUAGUGACCGAUAGCGUAUAGUACCGUGAGGGAAAGGUGAAAAGAACCCCGGGAGGGGAGUGAAAUAGAACCUGAAACCCUGCACUUACAAGCUGUGGAAGCACAUUUCUUGUGUGACCGCGUACUUUUUGUAGAACGGGCCAACGAGUUACGUUAAGUAGCAAGGUUAAGCACUUAAGGUGUGGAGCCGUAGCGAAAGCGAGUUUUAACUGAGCGUUCAGUUACUUGACGUAGACCCGAAACCGGGCGACCUACCCAUGAGCAGGAUGAAGCGAAAGUAAAAUUUCGUGGAGGUCCGAACCCACGAGCGUUGAAAAGCUCGGGGAUGACUUGUGGGUAGCGGUGAAAUUCCAAUCGAGCCCGGAGAUAGCUGGUUCUCCCCGAAAUAGCUUUAGGGCUAGCCUCAAGGUGAGAGAUACGGAGGUAGAGCACUGAAUGUCCUAGGGGGUAUUGCACCUACCGAAGACUAUCAAACUCCGAAUGCCGUCAUCUUAUACUUGGGAGUCAGACUGUGGGUGAUAAGAUUCAUAGUCGAAAGGGCAACAGCCCAGAUCGUCAGCUAAGGUCCCUAAAUGUAAGUUAAGUGGUAAAGGAUGUGGGAUUGCACAGACAACCAGGAUGUUGGCUUAGAAGCAGCCACUCAUUCAAAGAGUGCGUAAUAGCUCACUGGUCGAGUGAUCCUGCGCCGAAGAUUUCCGGGGCUAAAACUUACUACCGAAGCUACGGCAUCAGUAAUGAUGGGUAGGGGAGCUUCCCAUACGGGUUGAAGCAUGACCGUAAGGACAUGUGGACAGUAUGGGAGUGAGAAUGUUGGCAUGAGUAGCGAGAUGUGGGUGAGAAUCCCACAGGCCGUAAACCCAAGGUUUCCAGGGGAAGGUUCGUCCGCCCUGGGUUAGUCGGGACCUAAGCUGAGGCCGAAAGGCGUAGGUGAUGGACAACAGGUUGAUAUUCCUGUACUACCGAUAACCGUUUGAGAGAAGGGAUGACACAGUAGGAUAAGCUAAGCACACUGUUGGUUAUGUGUGCCCAAGCAUUGAGGCAGUCAAAGUAGGCAAAUCCGCUUUGAUAAUGCUGGGAUGUGAUGGGGAGCGAAAUUUAGUAGCGAAGUAGCUGAUUUCACACUGUCAAGAAAAGUCUCUAUCGAGGUUAAAGGUACCCGUACCGCAAACCGACACAGGUGGGUGAGGAGAGUAUCCUAAGGCCAGCGAGAGAACUGUUGUUAAGGAACUCGGCAAAAUGACCCCGUAACUUAGGGAUAAGGGGUGCCACCAUCAGGUGGCCGCAGAGAAUAGGCCCAAGCGACUGUUUACCAAAAACAUAGGUUUCUGCUAAGUCGCAAGACGAUGUAUAGGAGCUGACGCCUGCCCGGUGCUGGAAGGUUAAGGGGAUCUGUUAGAGCAAUCGAAGCAGUGAACUUAAGCCCCAGUAAACGGCGGCCGUAACUAUAACGGUCCUAAGGUAGCGAAAUUCCUUGUCGGGUAAGUUCCGACCCGCACGAAAGGCGUAACGAUUUGGGCACUGUCUCAACAACAGACUCGGUGAAAUUGUAAUUCCGGUGAAGAUGCCGGAUACCUGCGACAGGACGGAAAGACCCCAUGGAGCUUUACUGUAGCUUGACAUUGGGUCUUGGUACUACAUGUACAGGAUAGGUGGGAGGCUUUGAAACCAGGACGCCAGUUUUGGCGGAGCCAUCCUUGGGAUACCACCCUUGUAGUACUGGGACUCUAACCAUAGGCCAUGAAUCUGGUCUUGGGACACUGUCAGGUGGGCAGUUUGACUGGGGCGGUCGCCUCCCAAAAGGUAACGGAGGCGCUCAAAGGUUCUCUCAGUACGGUCGGAAAUCGUACGUAGAGUGUAAAGGCAAAAGAGAGCUUGAUUGCAAGACAUACAGGUCGAGCAAGGAUGAAAAUCGGACUUAGUGAUCCGGUGGUUCUGCGUGGAAGGGCCAUCGCUCAACGGAUAAAAGCUACCCUGGGGAUAACAGGCUUAUCUCCCCCAAGAGUCCACAUCGACGGGGAGGUUUGGCACCUCGAUGUCGGCUCAUCGCAUCCUGGGGCUGAAGUAGGUCCCAAGGGUUGGGCUGUUCGCCCAUUAAAGUGGUACGCGAGCUGGGUUCAGAACGUCGUGAGACAGUUCGGUCCCUAUCCGUCGCAGGCGUAGGAAAUUUGAGAAGACCUGUCCUUAGUACGAGAGGACCGGGAUGGACGUACCUCUGGUGUACCAGUUGUCCUGCCAAGGGCAUGGCUGGGUAGCUAUGUACGGAAUGGAUAAGCGCUGAAAGCAUCUAAGCGCGAAGCCAACUUCAAGAUAAGAUUUCCCACCGCAAGGGUAAGACCCCAGAAAGACUAUCUGGUUGA
This 2817-nucleotide ribosomal RNA is filed under the name metagenome. Its description in RNAcentral is "bacterial LSU rRNA". It matches the Rfam family "Bacterial large subunit ribosomal RNA". The record is from RNAcentral.